UGACUAUAAGAAAUAAACAGAUGUGUCG
This 28-nucleotide small RNA is filed under the name Bombyx mori (domestic silkworm). Its description in RNAcentral is "ovarian small RNA-31892". The record is from RNAcentral. Lineage: Eukaryota; Metazoa; Arthropoda; Insecta; Lepidoptera; Bombycidae.